Molecule: small nuclear RNA, 111 nt
Organism: Mesocricetus auratus (golden hamster)
Lineage: Eukaryota; Metazoa; Chordata; Mammalia; Rodentia; Cricetidae
Source: Ensembl
GUGCUCACUUCAGCAGCACAUACAUCUCCUAAAACUGGAAUGAUACAUAGAAUAUUAGCAUGCUCCCUGCGCAAGGAUGACAUGGAAAUUCAUAAAGCGUUCCAUAUUUUU